GAUGAACGCUAGCGGCAGGCUUAACACAUGCAAGUCGAGGGGUAUUUAUCUUCGUAUAGAGAGACCGGCGCACGGGUGCGUAACGCGUAUGCAAUCUACCUUUUACAGAGGGAUAGCCCAGAGAAAUUUGGAUUAAUACCUCAUAGUAUAUAGACUCGGCAUCGAGAUUAUAUUAAAGUCACAACGGUAAAAGAUGAGCAUGCGUCCCAUUAGCUAGUUGGUAAGGUAACGGCUUACCAAGGCUACGAUGGGUAGGGUUCAUGAGAGGGAGAUCCACCACACUGGUACUGAGACACGGACCAGACUCGUACGGGAGGCAGCAGUGAGGAAUAUUGGACAAUGAGCGCAAGCCUGAUCCAGCCAUGCCGCGUGCAGGAUGACGGUCAUAUGGAUUGUAAACUGCUUUUGUACGAGAGGAAACACUGAUACGUGUAGCAGCUUGACGGUAUCGUAAGAAUAAGGAUCGGCUAACUCCGUG
Molecule: ribosomal RNA, 478 nt
Filed under: uncultured bacterium
Lineage: Bacteria
Description: partial 16S ribosomal RNA
Rfam family: Bacterial small subunit ribosomal RNA
Source: RNAcentral